CAAACGGCCCUCUUUAGGGCCACAAAUUAAUUUUUCAUAUUUAUUU
Non-coding RNA from Bursaphelenchus xylophilus (pine wood nematode), 46 nucleotides. The record is from Rfam. Lineage: Eukaryota; Metazoa; Nematoda; Chromadorea; Rhabditida; Aphelenchoididae.